This 220-nucleotide ribosomal RNA is filed under the name uncultured bacterium. Its description in RNAcentral is "partial 16S ribosomal RNA". It matches the Rfam family "Bacterial small subunit ribosomal RNA", at positions 524 to 744 of the family's 1533-position model. The record is from RNAcentral.
UACGUAGGGUGCAAGCGUUGUCCGGAAUUAUUGGGCGUAAAGAGCUCGUAGGCGGUUUGUCGCGUCUGCUGUGAAAACCCGAGGCUCAACCUCGGGCCUGCAGUGGGUACGGGCAGACUAGAGUGUGGUAGGGGAGACUGGAAUUCCUGGUGUAGCGGUGAAAUGCGCAGAUAUCAGGAGGAACACCGAUGCGAAGGCAGGUCUCUGGGCCACUACUGAC